AUGGCGCCGCCGUCGCAGGCGGCCACCGGCAAGCGGAAGAAGCAGCACAAACCCGCUAAGAGCCUCGCCGUGAAAUCAACCAAUCCCGUCUCGAAGAAGACGCACAAGCAGAAGAAGCCGCGCCCACCUGCUGAGCAGGACCAAACCAACGCCGCCGCCGCCGCCGCAGGUGAACCCGCGGGCGGUGGCGUCCUCUUGUCAGCCGCGCUGCCGCCGGCGCGGCAGCUCGAGUUCCUUCUCCGCAGCUUCGAGCGCGCCGCCAAGAUGCGCCUCUCCCCACUCGAGCUCGGCGCCUACUCCGAGGGGUGCAUGGUGCAGCUCGCCGAGGGGGCGAGCCAGGACGUUGAGAGCUUCGGUGACCAUGUGAAGGGGGCCUUCGGAGCGACGUGGAAGGGGGAGCUCUGUGAGGGGAAGCUUGUUGAGGGGUCGAUCGAUGCGGGCAGCCCGGCGCUCCUGGUUAUCAGCUUGGGUGCUCUGAGAUCACUGGAGCUUCUGAGGGGGUUAAAGAUGUUUACUAGAGGAUGCCGUUCAGUAAAGCUCUUUGCCAAACACAUGAAAGUGGAGGAGCAGGUCGCGCUACUUAAAGAUCGAGUUAAUAUAGCCUGUGGUACACCCAGCAGAAUAAAGAAACUAAUUGACAUGGAAGCUUUAUCGCUGUCACGCGUGAAAUUAGUGGUACUCGACAUGCAGAGGGACCCAAAGUCAUUUAAUUUGUUUACGCUACCGCAAGUCAGCAACGAGUUUUGGGACCUGUACAAGGGAUAUCUAGAUGAGAAGGUUAGAGGAGGCGACACAAGAAUAUGCUUUUACGGUGCUGUUUCUGAGAAAGAUGCCAAUAAAGUCCUAACGCCUGCUGAGUAA
RNAcentral lists this ribosomal RNA (861 nucleotides) under Triticum aestivum (bread wheat). RNAcentral's name for it is "partial small subunit ribosomal RNA". The record is from RNAcentral. Lineage: Eukaryota; Viridiplantae; Streptophyta; Magnoliopsida; Poales; Poaceae.